Molecule: ribosomal RNA, 253 nt
Filed under: uncultured bacterium
Lineage: Bacteria
Description: partial 16S ribosomal RNA
Rfam family: Bacterial small subunit ribosomal RNA
Source: RNAcentral
UACAGAGGGUGCAAGCGUUGCUCGGCAUCAUUAGGCGUAAAGGGUAGGUAGGUGGUCUCAUUUGUCUGGGGUGAAAGCCCAGGGCUUAACCCUGGAAGUGCCCCGGAAACGGUGAGACUGGAGUCUUGGAGAGGGUCGUGGAAUUCCCGGUGUAGCGGUGAAAUGCGUAGAGAUCGGGAGGAACACCAGAGGCGAAGGCGGCGACCUGGACAAGCACUGACACUCAACUACGAAAGCGUGGGGAGCAAACAGG